RNAcentral lists this ribosomal RNA (429 nucleotides) under Actinomycetes bacterium. RNAcentral describes it as "Actinobacteria bacterium partial 16S ribosomal RNA". It matches the Rfam family "Bacterial small subunit ribosomal RNA", at positions 355 to 776 of the family's 1533-position model. Lineage: Bacteria; Bacillati; Actinomycetota; Actinomycetes. The record is from RNAcentral.
UAGGGAAUCUUCCGCAAUGGGCGAAAGCUUGACGGAGCAACGCCGCGUGAGUGAUGAAGGUUUUCGGAUCGUAAAACUCUGUUAUUAGGGAAGAACAAAUGUGUAAGUAACUAUGCACGUCUUGACGGUACCUAAUCAGAAAGCCACGGCUAACUACGUGCCAGCAGCCGCGGUAAUACGUAGGUGGCAAGCGUUAUCCGGAAUUAUUGGGCGUAAAGCGCGCGUAGGCGGUUUUUUAAGUCUGAUGUGAAAGCCCACGGCUCAACCGUGGAAGGUGCGUGGAAACUGGAAAACUUGAGUGCAGAAGAGGAAAGUGGAAUUCCAUGUGUAGCGGUGAAAUGCGCGUGGAUAUGGGGGAACACCAGUGGCGAAGGCGACUUUCUGGUCUGUAACUGACGCUGAUGUGCGAAAGCGUGGGGAUCAAACAGG